GCUACGGGAGGCUGCAGUGAGGAAUAUUGGUCAAUGGGCUAAGGCCUGAACCAGCCAAGUCGCGUGAGGGAAGACGGUCCUAUGGAUUGUAAACCUCUUUUGUCGGGGAGCAAAGCGAGUCACGUGUGACUCAUUGCGAGUACCCGAAGAAAAAGCAUCGGCUAACUCCGUGCCAGCAGCCGCGGUAAUACGGAGGAUGCGAGCGUUAUCCGGAUUUAUUGGGGUUAAAGGGUGCGCAGGCGGAGGUGCAAGUCAGCGGUCAAAUUGCGGGGCUCAACCCCGUACUGCCGUUGAAACUGCAUCCCUUGAGUGCGCGAGAAGUAUGCGGAAUGCGUGGUGUAGCGGUGAAAUGCAUAGAUAUCACGCAGAACUCCGAUUGCGAAGGCAGCAUACCGGCGCGCAACUGACGCUCAUGCACGAAAGCGUGGGUAUCGAACAGGAUUAGAUACCCCUGUAGUC
This 459-nucleotide ribosomal RNA is filed under the name uncultured bacterium. Its description in RNAcentral is "partial 16S ribosomal RNA". It matches the Rfam family "Bacterial small subunit ribosomal RNA", at positions 338 to 795 of the family's 1533-position model. The record is from RNAcentral.